GACGAACGCUGGCGGCGUGCUUAACACAUGCCAGUCGAACGGAAAGGCCCUGCUUGCAGGGUACUCGAGUGGCGAACGGGUGAGUAACACGUGGGUGAUCUGCCCUGCACUUCGGGAUAAGCCUGGGAAACUGGGUCUAAUACCGGAUAGGAGCCAUUUUUAGUGUGAUGGUUGGAAAGUUUUUUCGGUGUAGGAUGAGCUCGCGGCCUAUCAGCUUGUUGGUGGGGUAAUGGCCUACCAAGGCGGCGACGGGUAGCCGGCCUGAGAGGGUGGACGGCCACAUUGGGACUGAGAUACGGCCCAGACUCCUACGGGAGGCAGCAGUGGGGAAUAUUGCACAAUGGGCGCAAGCCUGAUGCAGCGACGCCGCGGGGGGGAUGACGGCCUUCGGGUUGUAAACUCCUUUCGCUAGGGACGAAGCUUUUUGUGACGGUACCUAGAGAAGAAGCACCGGCUAACUACGUG
Molecule: ribosomal RNA, 465 nt
Filed under: uncultured bacterium
Lineage: Bacteria
Description: partial 16S ribosomal RNA
Rfam family: Bacterial small subunit ribosomal RNA
Source: RNAcentral